This 427-nucleotide ribosomal RNA is filed under the name uncultured bacterium. RNAcentral describes it as "partial 16S ribosomal RNA". It matches the Rfam family "Bacterial small subunit ribosomal RNA", at positions 354 to 796 of the family's 1533-position model. The record is from RNAcentral.
GUGGGGAAUAUUGCGCAAUGGGGGAAACCCUGACGCAGCAAUACCGCGUGAGUGAAGAAGGUUUUCGGAUCGUAAAACUCUUUUAUUGGGGAAGAAGAAGUGACGGUACCCAAUGAAGAAGUCCCGGCUAACUACGUGCCAGCAGCCGCGGUAAUACGUAGGUGACAAGCGUUGUCCGGAAUCACUGGGCGUAAAGGGCGCGUAGGCGGUUUUAUAAGUCAGAUGUGAAAGGUACCGGCUCAACCGGUGACAUGCAUUUGAAACUGUAAGACUUUAGUACUGGAGAGACAAGUGGAAUUCCUAGAGUAGCGGUGAAAUGCGUAGAUAUUAGGAGGAAAACCGGUGGCGAAGGCGGCUUGCUGGACAGAUACUGACGCUGAGGUGCGAAAGCGUGGGGAGCGAACAGGAUUAGAUACCCUAGUAGUCC